GCCACUAAGUCUAUGGUAUUCUGUGCUAGCAGCCUGAAAUGGACUAAGACAUCCCAUAAGCAGAGGAGAUGAAGAUUCAGACGCACACAGAGGGACGACCCUGUGAGAACACAGGGAGAAGACAGUGUCUACAACCCCAGGAGAGACGCCUCAGGAGGAACCAGCCCUGCCCACACCUUGAUCUCAGAUUUCUAGCCUCCAGGACUGUGGGAAAUAAGUAUAUAUUGUUUAAGUCACCCAGUCUGUGGUGAUUUGUUAUGGAGGCUUUAGCCAAGUAAUAUACUCCUCAAAACCCUAUUUCUAUUGGGAGAUUUCUAUUGGAAGGAAGAUUCAGAGUGCAAAUUUGUAGUAUCCCUGCUGAUCUAUCUCCUAAAUGAAACACAUCAUUCCCAAGCACUUGUCUUUGUGCGAAGAUCCAUUUUGCAACCAACCAUAUAUAAUGUGUGAGGCCUUUUCACAAGACUGGCUUAAUUAAAAAUUCACAUCCUCCUGACAUCUUAAAUAUAAGAGCAGUAAGAUAUGCAGCUUUAACAGUUUGUAGUGGCUGGGAUUUUGAGGAGGGAUGUUUUGUCGUUAGCUUGGGAAAAUAGGUUCUACUGACAUCUGUUCAGCUUAGCUAUUAUUGUUCUUUUUUGUUACAGAAGUAAAACGGGGAAUUUUUUAGAAACACGUCAAUUACCUUUGAUUUUGUGUCAUAUACAGAAGGGAAUGUUUUUAUUCCUGCAAACCCCAUAAAAGCCAGUGAUGCAUUUUCAUAGCCCUCUCUUGGCAGAAAACUGCCUUUGAAAUUUCUGGAUCAAGAACGUAUUAUUUUCUGAUGGCUUUUUUUUUUUUUUUUUCUGGUGAUGUAUCUCAAAAGCUUCAACUUUUCCCCUCCUGUUAGCAGAAUACAGGGGAUCCGGUACCGAAUGCAGCAUCUACCAACCACAGGCACUGGAUGUAACUAUGCUUUGAAUUUUGAAGGUCCCUGAUAAGACAUCUUUGAGGUCAGGCAUAAAUCAUCACUUCACAUCUUGACGGCAAUGCAACGAAGACAAGUAUCUGUCUCUUUGGGUCUGUCUAACAAGGAGCAAAGCCUGGCCUCCCACCAGCAUCCAGACAAUAGUGGAUUCCCUCUCCAUAGAUGUCAAAAAAGAAACAGAUGCUCCCGCAGGUGAAAUGAGCUCUGGUCCACAAUGCAACGCAGGCUGUGCAGAAAAUCAAAGAGGAACCAACCCAGAAGUAUCCCCCAGGACAAAUCAUUAAGGGGGAAAAGGUCUCUGCAAAUGUAAUGAGUCCAGACACCAAGGGAAACGGAGAAGAUAAGAAGCAGAGAUUGAGGUAAUGCGUCCACCAGCCAAGGAGCACCAAGACGUGCUGGCGACCACCAGAUGCUAGCGGGGAGACCUGGAACAGAUUCUCCCUCAAAGCCUCCAGAAGUAAACCAACUCUGUAGACACCUUCAUUUCAGACUUCUGGUCUCCAGAGCUGUGAGAGAAUCCAUUUCUGUUCAUUGCAGCCACUUUUUUCUUUUCUUCCUUCUUUCUUUUCUUUUUUCUUUC
This 1541-nucleotide long non-coding RNA is filed under the name Homo sapiens (human). RNAcentral describes it as "HSALNT0406838". The record is from RNAcentral. Lineage: Eukaryota; Metazoa; Chordata; Mammalia; Primates; Hominidae.